RNAcentral lists this non-coding RNA (124 nucleotides) under Heterosigma akashiwo. Lineage: Eukaryota; Raphidophyceae; Chattonellales; Chattonellaceae. The record is from RNAcentral.
AAAGUUUGGUAAGGACUUUUAUUUUAGGACGGCAGCAUCAGGUUUGAUUUUUUUUUACUUUUUUCUGAGCAGCUUUCAGGGCAGCAGCUUCAGCUUUCUCGGCAUCCGCUUUCCUUUUCUUCUC